Molecule: long non-coding RNA, 600 nt
Organism: Alosa alosa (allis shad)
Lineage: Eukaryota; Metazoa; Chordata; Actinopteri; Clupeiformes; Clupeidae
Exons: 5
Source: RefSeq, a predicted model, not a curated record
UUCUACAAAAUCAGUUUGGUAGUCAUUUUAAUGUAACUAAAAUAUGCAGGCCUAAUAAUUUCCACGAUUUCUUAUGUUUUGCCUCUCGAUAAGCGCAUGCGCACACACAGCAUACCCAUCCCCCACCCCUGGCUGACUUUUCAACGAACUCCUUCAACCGUCACUUUUCUGUCAUGCAUCUGCAAUUGACUGCAAGCUGUACAAACUCUGCCGUCAUCAUAUCCAAGUGGGCUCCAUCAACAGACCAGGGCAAAGUCGGUCUGUCCUGCUACUACUACAUGCUAUUUGACUAUGUCUGGAAGCCAUGGCUGCUGCCCUUAACAUGCUAAACUGAAACCCUCACAAAUAAACUGAUAUCAAUAAUUAACAUUGAUGGUGAUGGUGGCAAGGGUGCCUUCAUAAGAUGCCAUCCAGCAAGUCCCAGCCUGGAGCCAGAGGCUGGCACUGCACGUUGGGGGAGGAUCUAUGUUAGGCAUCAGAAAGGUGGUUUAAGCAAGAAGGAAAGAGCUUCUGCAGACAGUGUUGCAAUUAGACACCUGACUUUUACUGCCAAAGGGACCAUCAGAGCACCUCUCCCUACCAUCUAUACCAGAAGAGUAA